This 253-nucleotide ribosomal RNA is filed under the name uncultured bacterium. RNAcentral describes it as "partial 16S ribosomal RNA". It matches the Rfam family "Bacterial small subunit ribosomal RNA", at positions 524 to 776 of the family's 1533-position model. The record is from RNAcentral.
UACAGAGACUGCAAGCGUUAUUCGGAUUCAUUGGGCGUAAAGGGUGCGUAGGUGGCAUGGUAAGUCGGAUGUGAAAUCCCGGGGCUCAACCCCGGAACUGCAUUCGAUACUGCUGCGCUAGAGUACUGGAGAGGAGAUUGGAAUUUACGGUGUAGCAGUGAAAUGCGUAGAUAUCGUAAGGAAGACCAGUGGCGAAGGCGGAUCUCUGGACAGUUACUGACACUGAGGCACGAAGGCCAGGGGAGCAAACGGG